AUAUGGGCCCUCAAUUUUCAUACCUAAAUUUUCGUUGCCACUUUCCUUCACUUUCCCGGGAAAAUCCUAACUUGCUCAACUUCUCCCACAGAAAAUGGCUUUACCAUCCCAAAAUAUUGACUCUCUGCUCCACCAUAACCUCUGACUCACUGAGUUAUGGUGGAUGGGACGACCCAAGACUGGGUGGUGGCUCAGUUCACUCUGGUGAGUCAAACCAGCUCCGUUAUCUUGAUAAAAGGUACAUCUUUGUGUACCUAUUAGGGUUUAUUUGUGCUUUGGCCAUUUCUAGGGUUAGGGUUUCUUCAACUAUUGUGUUCCCAGCUUGUGUCAUUGUUUUUUCUGUUGGGUUUUCGAUUGGGUUUGUUAAUGGUGGACAUGUGAGUUAAGCUUAAUUGGAACCACGAAGAGGCCAAAUGAUAAAAAAAUUAGGGUUUCAAUUAAGAAAUUGAGGAAUUUGAUGGAUUUUCUUUCUGGGUUUGAUGGUAAAAUCAAUAAUUUAAUCAAUGGCAUAAGAAGAGGUAUUGGGAGUAAUCAUAUCACUGUGGAUGAUUUGGAGAGUUAUAUUAAGGUCUUGGAAUCAAUUGGGUUAUCUAAUUUGAAUGCUAGAAGUGUUGUUGAGGCUUGUACUGACACCAUGUUAGUUGAGAACCAAGAAGUGGAAAGAAAUUUGAAUCAAAAGUUGAGUAGGAGAAAGAAAGAAGUGGGUGAAACCGGGUUUGAUUUGUUACAGUUUAUUGGCGGUUUGAUUCGUGGAACGUCAGUUGGUUUGAAGCAUAAUAAAAUGAGAGACAGUAUUAAGAGGGAUUCAAAUCAUGUAGAGGUUAACGAUCAAAGUCAAGGUAACAUUUAGGCGCCCGCAGUGGAUGAAAAGGUUUUAAGUUCAGUGUUUAAUGAUAAUUUAGGAAAUAGAACUGCAGCCAUUUCUGGAUAUACUCGUUAUAAGCUUGAUAUGGUAAAUGAAGCUAGAAGAAUAAAUUUAUUUGUGCAUGAUCAAAUGAAAAUUUCAGAUCACAUGAUAACUUUCCUGAUUCUGUGGAUUUUCGUGUCGAUUUAAAGCAGAUGAAAACUGAGGCUUCGUUUGAACAAGAACGGAUUCUCCACAAAACCAAUGGAAGUUACAGGGAGAACAGAGAAAAAGAGAUUUACAAAACUCAUAGCAGAGAAGAAGAGAGGUUGAUUUCUGAAGAUGAUCCGUCACACAAUAGUGAUAUUGGUUCUUUUCCAUCUUUGACAGUUUCGGAUGAUAUUGUGUUCAAUAGGUAUCUUAUGGAAGCUAAUGCCUUUCUGAAAGAAGCCCGGGAAUGUUUGACGGUUAACGGUGAUGAAGGACAUGCAGAAAGUGUAUUAUACGAGUCUGCAAAAUUACUCUGUAAAGCCAUAGACAUGAAGCCUUUGAGUACUGGCUGUGGCCCAGUUGGGAAAUACUUAUCUUCUUCAUGGAGAACUGAAAUUGAAAAUCAGUCAUUGAUUGAGAGCUCUACUUGCAAACAGUGACCUGGUAUUAAUUCAGAAACGGGGUAAAGUUCUCAAAGGACUCCUUGUUGAGGCGGGAAGAAAAUAUAGGCUGGCCUUGUCAAUUGACGGAAAUGAUACAAGAGCCUUGUAUAACUGGGGUCUUGCCCUGAACUUCCGUGCACAGUUGAUUGCAGAUAUUGGACCGGAAGCAGCUGUUGACGUUGACAAGAUUUUCUUGGCUGCAAUCGACAAAUUUGAUGCCAUGAUGUCCAAAAGCAAUGUUUAUACAUCUGAUGCUCUGUAUAGAUGGGGUGUGGCAUUGCAGCAAAGGUCUCGACUACGGCCAAGGGACAGUGAAGAGAAGGCGAAGUUACUGCAGCAAGCAACGAGGCUAUAUCAAGACGCGCUUGACAUUGACUCAGACAAUCUCCAAGUAACAGAAGCUUUAUAUUCAUGCAUUUCUGUGCUCAAUUUUAGGAGAUAGAUAGUAAUGCUUUGUUGUAAAAUGCCAAUUUUUUCGCUUUUCCUUGCCCUUUUCUUCUUUCCGUAGUUCCUUUUUUGUUCAUGCCCCACACCAUGCUUGCCAAAUGCAAGCCUAAAUAAGGUCUAUUAUUUCUUCUUUUUCACCGACCACCAUGCCUGGACCCUUUGGACUCACCCCUGCAGAGUAAAUUCUGAGUACCGUUAGAGUCCCAUCCUGACCACCAUGCCUGGACCCUUUGGACUCACCCUUGGGGAGUAAAUCCUGAGUAACGUUCUACACACCACGGUAGUCGGGAGAU
Molecule: non-coding RNA, 2237 nt
Organism: Camellia sinensis
Lineage: Eukaryota; Viridiplantae; Streptophyta; Magnoliopsida; Ericales; Theaceae
Source: RefSeq, a predicted model, not a curated record